CUUUACGUGCCACAUUGUCUCC
Molecule: microRNA, 22 nt
Filed under: Branchiostoma floridae (Florida lancelet)
Lineage: Eukaryota; Metazoa; Chordata; Leptocardii; Amphioxiformes; Branchiostomatidae
Also listed under: 1 other name
Description: Bfl-Mir-4861_3p (mature (guide))
Source: RNAcentral